UAGCUGGUCUGAGAGGAUGGACAGCCACACUGGGACUGAGACMCGGCCCAGACUCCUACGGGAGGCAGCAGUGGGGAAUAUUGGACAAUGGGGGCAACCCUGAUCCAGCGAUGCCGCGUGUGUGAAGAAGGCCUGAGGGUUGUAAAGCACUUUCGGUAGGGAGGAGAGUUGAUUGGUUAAGAGCUGAUUGAUGAGACGUUACCUACAGAAGAAGCACCGGCUAACUCCGUGCCASCAGCCGCGGUAAUACGGAGGGUGCGAGCGUUAAUCGGAAUUAUUGGGCGUAAAGGGUGCGUAGGKGUUGUAUAAGUUAUCUGUAAA
RNAcentral lists this ribosomal RNA (321 nucleotides) under uncultured Legionella sp. RNAcentral describes it as "bacterial SSU rRNA". It matches the Rfam family "Bacterial small subunit ribosomal RNA", at positions 284 to 598 of the family's 1533-position model. Lineage: Bacteria; Pseudomonadati; Pseudomonadota; Gammaproteobacteria; Legionellales; Legionellaceae. The record is from RNAcentral.